Non-coding RNA from Ovis aries (sheep), 45 nucleotides. The record is from Rfam. NCBI's taxonomy places the organism in Eukaryota, Metazoa, Chordata, Mammalia, Artiodactyla, Bovidae.
CAAAUGGAUUCUUUUGAAUCCAGACACAUUUAUUUACAAUGAGAA